GUGUUUGCUUUGGCAGCACAUAUACUAAAAUUAGAACAAUACAGAGAAGAUUAGCAUGUCCCCUGUACAAGGAUGACAUGCAAAUUCGUGAAGUGGUCCAUUAAAAAAAAUGUUU
RNAcentral lists this small nuclear RNA (115 nucleotides) under Sciurus vulgaris (Eurasian red squirrel). The record is from RNAcentral. Lineage: Eukaryota; Metazoa; Chordata; Mammalia; Rodentia; Sciuridae.